Molecule: ribosomal RNA, 357 nt
Filed under: uncultured bacterium
Lineage: Bacteria
Description: bacterial SSU rRNA
Rfam family: Bacterial small subunit ribosomal RNA
Source: RNAcentral
ACCAGGGCUUCGGCCCUGGGGACAGCGGCGAACGGGUGAGUAACACGUGGGUAACCUGCCCUCGGCACCGGGAUAGCCCGGGGAAACUCGGAUUAAUACCGGACAGCCUCAUGAGCUCUCGGGCGAAUGAGAAAAGGUGGCUUCGGCUUCCGGCUGAGGAUGGGCCCGCGGCCGAUUAGCUUGUUGGUGAGGUAAUGGCUCACCAAGGCUCCGAUCGGUAGCUGGUCUGAGAGGACGAUCAGCCACACUGGGACUGAGACACGGCCCAGACUCCUACGGGAGGCAGCAGUGGGGAAUCUUGCGCAAUGGGCGAAAGCCUGACGCAGCGACGCCGCGUGCGGGAAGAAGGCCUUCGGG